CCAAAUAAAUAAGCAAGUAAGGAAAUAAUAAAAUUGGAAGAGUACAGACAAGAUUAGCAUGGGCCCUGCACAAGGAUGACACACACAUUUGUGAAACAUUCUGUAUUUUU
Lontra canadensis (Northern American river otter) is the source of this 110-nucleotide small nuclear RNA. The record is from RefSeq and is a predicted model, not a curated record. NCBI's taxonomy places the organism in Eukaryota, Metazoa, Chordata, Mammalia, Carnivora, Mustelidae.